AACUGAACACUACCGCAGUGACGAGCAAAAUUCGUAUGUAGUCUAGGCUGCACAACCGCACUGAUUGUUGCAACCUAAAUAUGCCUUCGUUUCCUCUUACCGGUUCCGUCACCAUCUGUGAAAUCAAUCGAGACCUCAUUGUCGCUGAGAAUCUGUCGGAAGAUCGAAGCCAGGACACUUAUGGCAAACUUCUUGGAAUGGUAUUCAGCCCGAUUCCAUUUCACUCUGAUCAAACGGUGUCGCCGAGUCCCGAGCAGGACACAGAACAAGAACAUGGAAGUAUGCCCGCUGAUAAUGCUGAGAGAAAGGGUUUAGUGGCAGCAUUGCAGGGAAUUCUCGGUCACCCCCUGAAACGUUUCUUUCAUCCUAGUGACGUAAACAUGUUACAGGAGGUUGAUCUUCAUGGAGUAAGCUGGCACCAUCAUAAGCAUAUUAUUGCAUUCAUAUCUGGGUCAAAUCAAGUUAUGGUCCGUGACUAUGAGGAUUCAGAAGGGAAGGAUCCCUGCAUUUUAACAAAUGAGUUGCAAAGAGAUGUUAAAGUACUUGAGUGGAGGCCAAAUGCUGGGAGGAUGCUCUCUGUAGCAUGCAAGGGUGGAUUAUGCAUUUGGGCUGCUUCUUUCCCAGGCAAUGCAGCAUCUGUGAGAUCUGGUGCUGCUUCAUUCUUGGGAACUGUCUCUAGGGGCUCUGGUGUGCAAUAUAUCCUGGUGGAUUUCCUUCGAAGUCCAAAUAAUGAACAAAUUAGUGCGCUCUCGUGGAGUCCAGAUGGAAGAUAUUUGGCUUCUGCCUCUUAUGAGAGCUCGUCAUUCACCAUAUGGGAUGUUGCUCAAGGUGUGGGCACACCCAUUCGACGAGGAUUAGGGGGCAUCUCAAUGAUGAAAUGGUCGCCUACUGGAGAUUACUUUUUUGCUGCAAAAUUUGAUGGAACAUUUUAUCUUUGGGAGACAAACACAUGGACAUCUGAACCUUGGUCUUCAACUAGUGGAUUUGUCAAGGGAGCAACAUGGGACCCUGAUGGACGUAUGAUACUAAUUGCUUUCUCAGAAUCAUUGACAUUGGGAUCUAUACAUUUUGCAUCAAAGCCUCCAUCAUUAGAUGCACACCUGUUACCAGUUGAUUUGCCUGAGAUAAUAUCCUUGACAGGCAGUCAGGGCAUUGAGAAGAUAGCCUGGGAUGCAUCGGGAGAGCGAUUGGCUGUAUCUUACAAAGGUGGGGAUGAACCAUACAGGGGUUUGAUAGCCGUAUAUGAUACUAGAAGGACUCCACUGGUUUCUGCAUCACUGAUUGGGUUUAUUAGAGGACCUGGAGACCAUCCGAAGCCAAUAGCAUUUUCAUUUCACAACAAGUUUAAGCAGGGUCCACUGCUUUCUGUGUGUUGGAGCAGUGGAUUUUGCUGUACCUAUCCUCUUAUAUUUCGUUCCCAUUCUCUUCCAUAGGUUGUGUUAAUUAGAGAUGAGUAUGGCAUUCCAUGAGUUGGAUUACAACUAAUUUUGAGCUUUGUAUUUUACUAUCCGACCUGUAAGUUGCCCUCUCUCUCUCUCUCUCUCAUCCCAGCUGCACAACCUCUUCACCAACUUCAGCUCAUGUCGCCACCAUUGUGAAAGAAAGUAGCACGCUAUUUGUAACAUACUAAGAGUAAAAUUUGGGAUCAAAGCAGGUCGAGAGAAUUUGCAGACUUAUUGAAAGGAAUAAUUCAAGGAUAAAGUCACCUCGGAUGCUCUUGGCCCGCUCGUGAGUAUUUAGAGGGUCAUCUUUAUAAUUGGAUGUCUUAUACCUCUUGGUAGUUAGUAUUAUGGUGCUUGCAAUUA
Juglans microcarpa x Juglans regia is the source of this 1805-nucleotide RNA transcript. It is a transcript of the gene named aladin, with no coding region annotated. The transcript has 16 exons. Lineage: Eukaryota; Viridiplantae; Streptophyta; Magnoliopsida; Fagales; Juglandaceae. The record is from RefSeq and is a predicted model, not a curated record.